CUACUUUCUUCACACUUCUUCCUCUGAAUUCGUAUUCAAUACCUAUCAACACACAAGACUCAAUAACAUCCAUAACUAUGGAGUUACAGAUUCCUGAAUCCGAAUGUAAUGUUGCAUUCGAUGAAAAUACAUU
Ostrinia furnacalis (Asian corn borer) is the source of this 133-nucleotide long non-coding RNA. RefSeq lists it as uncharacterized. The transcript is spliced from 2 exons. Lineage: Eukaryota; Metazoa; Arthropoda; Insecta; Lepidoptera; Crambidae. The record is from RefSeq and is a predicted model, not a curated record.